GUCAGCCCAUAAGCUAAGGACCCAUGACCUUAGGAAGGGGUAUUCUAAAAAAAAAAUCAGAUUUUUUCCAUUCUGCAUUUUCCUUUAUCUCUCUAGACAGAGCUCUUUUCUUCCUAAGAAGGUGCUCUGCCUUCUCUCUAAAAGAUCCAGACACUGAACCGUCUAAAAUUUAAUUCGAAGGUGCCUAAACGAUCGCGGUCACAAGGGCUUUAACUUGAACCAAACAAUUUCUUAUUCCAACUAGUAAGUCCUAUUUCCCCUUCUCUUUCACUGUUCUAGAACCUAGGGCAUGCAACUUUGUUGGGUUCAUGUUCCUAAUGUGUUUUUCCUUCCAUUCUCUGCCUAUCGAGCUCUAAGAGUUGUGUUCUAUCACCAAUUCGGUGAUUUGUAGGUUCUGUAAGUUCAAUGCUGAGUGGGUUCCUGUUAGGGCGUUUUCAAUUUGCUACUUUUAAAGAAAACCAGGUAAGGGGAGCUAAUUGUUUUGUUUGAAUAUAUUUUAUAAAAUAUAUACAUGUUGAUUUCUUAAACUGAUGUGUUGAUUUGAAUUGAUAUUUAUAUGUUUGGUAUGAACUAAAGUUUGAAAAUGAUGAAUUUAUUGUCUGUGAAAUUGUGCUUAAAUAUUGUGCGUUUAAAUAUUUGACUGGUAUAUGUGGAUUGAAUAUAUAAGUUGUCUCUUUGAAUUGAUUUGCUGAAAUUGAUCUUUGAUUUGGGGUGGUGUGUGUGGGUGAGACCUAAUGAGGAGAGCAAGAGAGAGUUGCUUGGGAGCUAUGUGUUGGGUGUGUGUGAUCAUGGGUGAAGAAGAUGAAAGAAAAUUGGUUGCAGUGACGGGAUUGAGGUGAAAUUNUUAAAUAAAGAAAAUAGAAUAGAAAGAGGAUGUAGUACGAAAAAAAAAAAAAGAAGAGAAAGGGAGCAAAGUAUGUGUGCAGUGCAUGUGGAGUUGCCUAAUAGAAAUAUAAAAGUGACAUAUAUAUAUAUAUAUAUAUAUAUAUAUAUAUAUAUAUAAUUAUAUAUCUAUAUAUAUAAUAUAUUAUAUUUAGGAUUACGUAUAUUAUAUAUAUAAUAUUAUGUUAAGUGUUAUAUAUAUUAUAUAUAAUAUUAUGUU
Molecule: long non-coding RNA, 1102 nt
Filed under: Vigna radiata
Lineage: Eukaryota; Viridiplantae; Streptophyta; Magnoliopsida; Fabales; Fabaceae
Description: long non-coding RNA (VRAD_LNC005927)
Source: RNAcentral